RNAcentral lists this ribosomal RNA (483 nucleotides) under uncultured bacterium. RNAcentral's name for it is "partial 16S ribosomal RNA". It matches the Rfam family "Bacterial small subunit ribosomal RNA", at positions 28 to 506 of the family's 1533-position model. The record is from RNAcentral.
AUUGAACGCUGGCGGCAUGCUUUACACAUGCAAGUCGAGCGGCAGCGCGGGCUUCGGCCUGGCGGCGAGUGGCGAACGGGUGAGUAAUGCAUCGGAACGUGCCCAGUAGUGGGGGAUAGCCCGGCGAAAGCCGGAUUAAUACCGCAUACGACCUGAGGGUGAAAGCGGGGGACCGAAAGGCCUCGCGCUAUUGGAGCGGCCGAUGUCGGAUUAGCUAGUUGGUGGGGUAAAGGCUUACCAAGGCGACGAUCCGUAGCUGGUCUGAGAGGACGACCAGCCACACUGGGACUGAGACACGGCCCAGACUCCUACGGGAGGCAGCAGUGGGGAAUUUUGGACAAUGGGGGCAACCCUGAUCCAGCCAUGCCGCGUGCGGGAAGAAGGCCUUCGGGUUGUAAACCGCUUUUGUUCGGGAAGAAAUCCUCUGGGCUAAUACCCCGGGGGGAUGACGGUACCGGAAGAAUAAGCACCGGCUAACUACGU